GCAGAAUGUUAAAGGAACUGUCUUUUGUGUGUCUGCAGACAAUCUUGCAGCACACGGAUUGGGAGGCUUCACAGAAUCAUUUAGAUCUGAGUAUGCCUGUAGGUUUUGUUUAGCCACUAGAGAUCAGAUGAAAUCUAUGAGUGUAAUUCAGGGAGAUUUCCCCAUGAGAACAGAGACCAGUCAUGACAUUCAUGUCCGUGAUGUUUUGCAGAGUGAUACCCAAAGCAGUCAGUUUGGUGUAAAACAAGACUGUGUGCUGCGUGAAGCAUUGAAACAUUUCCACCCUGUCACCGGAUUUGCUCCAGACAUCCUUCAUGACCUUUUGGAAGAUUUUGGAUCUGAAUGACACGAUCACACUUGCUGCUUACUUCAUUGAUGGUCGGUUAAUGCUCUCUCCCAGGAGAUACAUCUUGCAAAGUCCAUAGAAAAAUGGCAGCUUCUUCCUGUUUGAUGCUUCGUGUCAUUGUUGAUUCCAGGACUACUCGGAAAAUCACACUCGCCUCCUAUCCUGAAUCCAGUGGUGGCUGCUGGUCUUUCAAAGAGGGGAAGCUCAUUUUCGGCCUACAUCAUAAAAAUUGUCCAUUUAUUUAUACUUAAAUUCUGCCCUAGGUUCCUUUUCAAGAAAAUGCUCUGUGACCCUUUCAUACCAUAUAGGAGUCUUUUCCAGUGACACUAGCCUACUGUAUGAAUGAAUGAAUGAACAAACAAACAAUCUAAAAAAAAAGAUAUUAAUCUCAUAACAUUAUUCAUGCAAUUAUAAAUAUAGUCUAAAUGAAUAAAUGCCACAUCUAAAUGUCACUUCAUGCAGCUUCUGUGCAGUGCUAAGAUGAGUUUUUUUUAGAUUAUUUCAUGGAUAACAAUAGCCAGUCAUUAAGUAUUCAGAGAAUAAUAUUGUCUGUUUUCACUUACAUCUAUUUAUUUAUUAAAUUUUGAUUCAUUUUGUAGAAUUGAAUUAUAAAUUAAGCUGGUAUAGUAUCGUAAUACAUUUUUAUGGUAUCGUGACAACCCUAUUGUACACCACAUUCUUCGUUUCAGUUUAGCCUAAUUCCUAAUUAACCUAAUUAAACAUUUCCUCUGUCGAGUUUAAUGUUUUAAAUACUAAAUUCUGAAUAUAGAAAUAUGUUGGAAAAUAAUGUAGCAUGCCUACUUUUAGACGUGAAACUUAAAAAUGGCCAGCAGGCGGCAGAAGUUCGUGACUGAAUCACUGAGUCAUUCAAAUGAUUCUUUCAAAACGGCUGAAUCCUUCAGGAGCGAAUCAAAUUACUGUUUUUAUGAGUGGCUCAGUGAAUCAGUGAUUCGCCCAAACUAACGCGGAUUUGGAUUCGAACACAAACGAAACAAAAACAGCACUCUUGCUAGUGUUGUAUUGCCUAAGUGUCAGGAGCAUUUUUUGCUCGCAUAUCUUGAAAUUUCCGAGUUAGCAGCAUGUAUAUUAAAACAUAACAUUAUAAAUGAAUAAAAAAUAUAUAUAAUGAUUGAUAAGAAACGUCAGCGACUUUUUAUAGGACAAAAUCGCUGUCAAUCAAAAGGAGAUGCAGACCCUCCAAUCAUCACGCAGAAGCCCGGAGUCCAGGCACGCCCACUCCUCCAUUCACCCCCAGAGACGCUGAGCGUCCGGGGGCGGGACAUAAUCGCAGCAUUUAUCCAAUGACCGUCUAGUUUCGAGGCACUGAAAAAAACUGUUCAAAGCAGCCCCAUUGAAGUCAAUGGACGCUUGGCUUCAAUGGAGAAAUACACUGAAGCUACGGGAAUGUAUGAGAAGGAAAUCGAGUCAGUCGACCUGCUAUAUGUAGCUGAUUCUGAACGAACUCGUCUUCGAGAUGAACGUGUUCUAACGCAUUUUUAGUCAAUAAAAUGUUAACACAAUAGUACAUAUUUGACCAUUAAUUUUUUGACAUUAUAGGGGAAGCCGAGUUGCCACCAAAAGCUACUGUUAAGCUUUUUUUUGAUGGAGAAACUAGUUCUACAUCAACAACAGACACUGAAUUAUUAACUGAUGUUUCCACCCCUGAACAUGUUUCAGGGUGGCCUCAAGGCAGUUUUCCAGUGCCAGCAUUUUCUUAUGAGGUAGAACACAUACUUAGAGAAAGAAAUUCUGCCUUUGAAAAAACAGGAAAAGUGCUGCAGCUAAACAGAGACCAGAAGCAUGAUGUCCUUGACAAAGUAGCAGCUGCAAUCUAUAAUUUUAAAGCCUACCCAAGUGACAAAGAGCUGUCAAAAGCAGCAGAAGCUCUGAUCACCAAACACCCAUGUCUGAAAGAGCUGGGUUCAGAUAACGGAUGGUUUGGAUGGAAAACUAGCAUCAAAUUUAAAAUGGGAAACUACCGAAACAAGCUGAGGAGAGCAGGAUGUAUGGAGGUUGCAGUGAAUGCUGGAAAACGAAGCAAAAGCAGUCCAGACAAUGAACCAUCACACUCGAACAUAAAAAGGGCAAGACGUGCCGAAGUAAACUAUUUACCAGACUUCCCCCAAGGUCAUGAUGCUUCAACUCUAGAGCAGCAGAGGGUUGAAAUUACAGAAGAAGUUCAGAAAACUGAAACAAAUCUUGUUACUGUUGAUAAGAAGAUGCAGAUGACAUUUGCAUUACGCAGGAAAGAGAUCAUUACCAGUCCAUCACCAGUGAAAGAGAUCCUUGGACGCUGGCCAGCUCUACGUUUGGAAUCACAGGUAUGUGCUGAAUUUCAGUGCAUUACCAACCAGAAUUUGACAAACACAUUUUACGCAGAGCUAGACUGCCACAGUUUUCGCCUGAUGACUUUAUAAUCGACAGAGAGCAGCAAAGACUGGAAAAACUGCUGAUGCACUUGCUGAAUUUCUUCGGGUUCAUGACUUAAAGGAUCAACAUGAUGUACACACAAGCCGAACAACAGUGCUCUGUGCGCUUCCUGUGUAUCUGAGAGAAGACGCCUCAAAAUUCUUUAAAACAUGCACGAUUGAAGAUGAUUCAGAAGAGCCAGAUGUUGAUUCAUCAGUUGCCCUUUUGACAGUCGUCCGAGAACUCCCAGACAUUGCUCUUCAGCACAAUCCAGAGAAGAUUUCGAUCAUCCUUGAGAAUGAAGCUGUCAUAACAGGCCUGCAGAGACUCUCUGAUGCGUUCCUUUUGAUGUUUGGCUUAAUCUAUGCAUUGGAUCUUUCAUAUCCAAAAGAGAUGGCCAACACAUUUGAGUUUAUUCAGAAGGUUCCUUUGGGUCUUGAUGAUGGCAAACUUAAGCCAAGGGUGCUGGCUCUAAAGAGUGACUUGCUGAUUCAUGCACAGUAAUUUUAUACUGUUUGCCUGUGUUGUGUUGUUUUCUUUGAUAUCAGGCAUAUGUGCAAGAUUUCAACAUGAGUUCUUAUUACUAAAAUGGUGAUUUGCCUAAAAUUUAAACAAAAACAAAAAUAGCAAUUUCUUCUGUCACAAAGUUCAAUAAAAUUUGUAGACAGCAGAUCAAGAAAUCUUAAUCCUGUUUUGUAUUCAUUAAGGUAAUAUUUUAAUUGAUUUUCUUUG
Onychostoma macrolepis is the source of this 3487-nucleotide long non-coding RNA. RefSeq lists it as uncharacterized. The record is from RefSeq and is a predicted model, not a curated record. The transcript is spliced from 6 exons. NCBI's taxonomy places the organism in Eukaryota, Metazoa, Chordata, Actinopteri, Cypriniformes, Cyprinidae.